UGGGUUUUACAUUUGUUACGAAAUCAACCAUAGAUGAAUUCCCUUUUUUAUUUGGGAGUAAUGAAUACGUCCAUAAUUCUGAGUUUCAUGUUACUCCUACCAAGAAACAUGUCAAAUCCAGGGCAUCCCAAUUGGAUACAGCCAUGCCGACAACCUUUGUUGUUUUUUUGCUGUUGAACCAGAUUGAAAGUCGCCCACUGCAGAAGAAGGCCUUGCAAACACUAGACGAUAACAAUAAUGGAUUUCCAAAGCGCUUCCCUUAUCUAUUCUAUGUGGAUUUUGAAGCAUCAAUGGCUGACCAGAAAGCACAGAAUGCCCUUGGGCAUCUAAAGGUGUAGUCGGUUUUAUUAUCAUUCAGCUUUGAAAUAUAAAUUUUAGUUGUAGAUGAUAUAGGAAGAUGUAUUCCUUUGGCAGGAGAUUGCUACAUUCUUGAGAGUGCUGGGGAGUUACCCAUCAGACAUUAGCAUGACAUGAAUGAUGCUGAAGCCCUGGAUUUUGUGAUAAUGCAGGGCUCAUGGAAGGUUUUUUUGGGCCAAAGAGACAUCCUAAUUUUGUUUUUGGUCUCAACGUCAAAUUUGUACAGAAAUUUGAGAUGUUUGUGCACUGCUGGAAGUAGAGAUUCUAAUCAACAUCUUACAUCUUAGAUGGAUAUGUAGAUUGUGUUCUCACAACAUUCUGAAACAUCAGUCAAAACUAAAGUUGUACUAUUCACUUUUCAAGGUGCAUUUGUUUUAUUGAUUUUUUAUUUUCUUCUUCAUAUUAGAUUGUAUAAACAAAGGGGAACAAAUGUGAGCUCUGUUUUUGUACCAAUAAGCUUGUACUAUAUGAUUACUCUCAAAACAGUCUAGUUCCUCAAAAUUCAUGCUUCUACUUGAGGUAUUUUGAUGACUUUUGAAA
Non-coding RNA from Camellia sinensis, 897 nucleotides. The record is from RefSeq and is a predicted model, not a curated record. Lineage: Eukaryota; Viridiplantae; Streptophyta; Magnoliopsida; Ericales; Theaceae.